AGUGGAGUUGUACCUGUUGGUUUGUCCCAUUAUAAGGACACUAGCUUCUUAAAUGGACAAAUUGCGUCUAGCAAUAAUGAGAUUGAGCAAUAACAGGUCUGUGAUGCCCUUAGAUGUCCUGGGCUGCACGCGCGCUACAAUGAAAGUAUCAACGUGUAUUUCCUAGACCGAGAGGUCCGGGUAAACCGCUGAACCACUUUCUUGCUUGGGAUUGUGAACUGAAACUGUUCACAUGAACCUGGAAUUCCCAGUAAGUGUGAGUCAUUAACU
Molecule: non-coding RNA, 270 nt
Filed under: Megaselia scalaris
Lineage: Eukaryota; Metazoa; Arthropoda; Insecta; Diptera; Phoridae
Description: Eukaryotic small subunit ribosomal RNA
Rfam family: Eukaryotic small subunit ribosomal RNA
Source: Rfam by way of RNAcentral